UACAGAUGUCCCAAGCGUUGUUCGGAUUCACUGGGCGUAAAGGGUGCGUAGGCGGUCGGGUAAGUCUGAUGUGAAAUCUCACAGCUUAACUGUGAAACUGCAUUGGAUACUAUCCGGCUCGAGGAAUGGAGGGGAGACUGGAAUACUUGGUGUAGCAGUGAAAUGCGCAGAUAUCAGGAGGAACACCGGUGGCGAAGGCGGGUCUCUGGGCCGUAACUGACGCUGAGGAGCGAAAGCGUGGGGAGCGAACAGG
Molecule: ribosomal RNA, 253 nt
Filed under: uncultured bacterium
Lineage: Bacteria
Description: partial 16S ribosomal RNA
Rfam family: Bacterial small subunit ribosomal RNA
Source: RNAcentral